UAAAUACUCCUUCCGUCCUAAAAUUCUUGUCUUAGCUUUGCCUAGAAAUAAAUAUAUCAAAAUACUAAAAUUUGACUAGAUACAUUCACAUCUAAAUAAAUUUAAGACAAGAAUUUUAAAACGGAGGAAGUAAUAC
Molecule: non-coding RNA, 136 nt
Organism: Hordeum vulgare subsp. vulgare (domesticated barley)
Lineage: Eukaryota; Viridiplantae; Streptophyta; Magnoliopsida; Poales; Poaceae
Source: Rfam